RNAcentral lists this ribosomal RNA (504 nucleotides) under uncultured bacterium. Its description in RNAcentral is "bacterial SSU rRNA". It matches the Rfam family "Bacterial small subunit ribosomal RNA", at positions 30 to 527 of the family's 1533-position model. The record is from RNAcentral.
AUUGAACGCUGGCGGCAUGCUUUACACAUGCAAGUCGAACGGCAGCGCGGGGGCAACCCUGGCGGCGAGUGGCGAACGGGUGAGUAAUGUAUCGGAACGUAUCCUGUAAUGGGGGAUAACCAGUCGAAAGAUUGGGUAAUACCGCAUACGCACGAGAGUGGAAAGUAGGGGAUCGCAAGACCUUACGUUAUAGGAGCGGCCGAUAUCUGAUUAGCUAGUUGGUGGGGUAAAGCCUACCAAGGCGACGAUCAGUAGCUGGUCUGAGAGGACGACCAGCCACACUGGGACUGAGACACGGCCCAGACUCCUACGGGAGGCAGCAGUGGGGAAUUUUGGACAAUGGGCGAAAGCCUGAUCCAGCCAUGCCGCGUGCAGGAAGAAGGCCUCGGGUUGUAAACUGCUUUAGUCUAGGAAAAAGGGGUGCGAGGUUAAUACCCUCGUGCUUUGAUGGUACUGGAAGAAUAAGCACCGGCUAACUACGUGCCAGCAGCCGCGGUAAUCACG